Molecule: ribosomal RNA, 430 nt
Filed under: uncultured bacterium
Lineage: Bacteria
Also listed under: 1 other name
Description: bacterial SSU rRNA
Rfam family: Bacterial small subunit ribosomal RNA
Source: RNAcentral
AACACAUGCAAGUCGAACGGAUCCUUCGGGAUUAGUGGCGGACGGGUGAGUAACACGUGGGAACGUGCCCUUUGGUUCGGAACAACUCAGGGAAACUUGAGCUAAUACCGGAUGUGCCCUUCGGGGGAAAGAUUUAUCGCCAUUGGAGCGGCCCGCGUCUGAUUAGCUAGUUGGUGGGGUAAAGGCCCACCAAGGCGACGAUCAGUAGCUGGUCUGAGAGGAUGAUCAGCCACAUUGGGACUGAGACACGGCCCAAACUCCUACGGGAGGCAGCAGUGGGGAAUCUUGCGCAAUGGGCGAAAGCCUGACGCAGCCAUGCCGCGUGAAUGAUGAAGGUCUUAGGAUUGUAAAAUUCUUUCACCGGGGACGAUAAUGACGGUACCCGGAGAAGAAGCCCCGGCUAACUUCGUGCCAGCAGCCGCGGUAAUUC